AAAGAUUUAACAUCAACCCCUGGAUUUCUUUUGAGGAUACAGAAGUACAGGAGAUGCUCAGCAAUCUGGCAAAGAAGGCUGGCUGGACAUGAAAUGUUAUGGGAGUUAUGUCUAGCUUUGGAUCCACUGAAUUCACAUAUUACAGAAAUCAGAUCAGAGCAAAGCUGAUGGGUAACAAAGAAGUUGAUGUAGAGGGUCCCUCCAUUAAGUCUCUACAUAAUUAUCGAUGAAAAUGUUUCCUUCCUCCUACAAUUAUGCUAACAAAUCCAGAGAGGGAAUACUUCACACUGAUGCUAGUAUGAUGCUAGUAUGAAAACAAGAUUAUUCUGUGCCACAAACAAAUUGUUCAGAAAGAGGACAUUGGUGGAUUUGCAUUUUGGGUACAGUUCAAAGAAUUUUCAAUAUGAUGAUGGAAGAUCAGAGGGAGGACAAAUGGGAAAAGUUGACAGAGAAAGAAAAGAAUUAGGAAAUAUCUGGAAUAAAUAUGAAUGAGAAGGAUGUACUUAAUUUUGUCAGACU
This is a long non-coding RNA of Saccostrea echinata, 519 nucleotides long. RefSeq lists it as uncharacterized. The record is from RefSeq and is a predicted model, not a curated record. The transcript is spliced from 4 exons. Lineage: Eukaryota; Metazoa; Mollusca; Bivalvia; Ostreida; Ostreidae.